UAUCUCCUGCAGUGUUCGAGGAUGUGCUGGGUGUUUCCUGAACCUGUAUUACCCCAGGGGGCAACUACAGUUAAUGGUGUGCAUGCCCGUUUCGACGAGAAGCCUGAAUUUAACGCGCCUGUCCCCACUUGAACUUCCGGUUCAAGGGCGAAAGCAUAUUACGGCACAGGUGGGAGAUGC
This 180-nucleotide non-coding RNA is filed under the name Gammaproteobacteria bacterium. RNAcentral describes it as "6S RNA". It matches the Rfam family "6S / SsrS RNA". From Rfam's summary of the family: E. coli 6S RNA was the first non coding RNA to be sequenced, but its function was unknown until recently. It consists of 184 nucleotides that fold into an extended hairpin structure with a large single-stranded internal bulge. The 6S RNA specifically associates with RNA polymerase holoenzyme containing the sigma70 specificity factor. Lineage: Bacteria; Pseudomonadati; Pseudomonadota; Gammaproteobacteria. The record is from RNAcentral.